Molecule: small nuclear RNA, 104 nt
Filed under: Piliocolobus tephrosceles (Ugandan red Colobus)
Lineage: Eukaryota; Metazoa; Chordata; Mammalia; Primates; Cercopithecidae
Source: RNAcentral
GUGCUCACUUUGGCAGCACAUAUACUAAAAUUGAAAUGAUACAGAGAGUAGCAUGGCCCCUGCACAGGGAUGACCUGCAAAUUUGUGAAGUGUUCCAUGAAAAA